GGGAGAAUUAAUGAUUCCAAAUCCAUUGUUUUUUUCUCUGCAAGGCAGAUGAUGAAUCAUCACAACACAUGCACUACCAUCUGAUCUCCC
Musa acuminata AAA Group (dessert banana) is the source of this 90-nucleotide small nucleolar RNA. Lineage: Eukaryota; Viridiplantae; Streptophyta; Magnoliopsida; Zingiberales; Musaceae. The record is from RefSeq and is a predicted model, not a curated record.